UUCCCGCUUUUUAUAGAGCGGGAAAAGGU
RNAcentral lists this transfer RNA (29 nucleotides) under Testudo hermanni. RNAcentral's name for it is "tRNA-Cys". The record is from RNAcentral. Lineage: Eukaryota; Metazoa; Chordata; Testudines; Testudinidae.